AUUUAUUUAAGAGAGGAAGUCAAGCCAAUUAGAUGAAGGAGGAAAACCACUUUUCCUCUGUGUAGGAUCUUCCAGAUUUCAUCAAAUCUGGGGUGGAAUAAAUUUUAAAUUUUAUCCUACGCUAUUUCAGAUCUGAUGUCUAUUAGAUCUAAUUUUAUUAUCUAAUAUUUUAAUUUCAAAAUUAAAUCUAAAAGUAUGAGAAACAUAGACAUACCUCAAGGGUAAUCUAAUUAUUCUGUAGAUGAUCGCAGCACUGCCUGAGGUUCUGAUGUAGCCAUGCAAGUGCCUGACCUCUACCAAUAUCCACUU
RNAcentral lists this long non-coding RNA (309 nucleotides) under Elaeis guineensis (African oil palm). RNAcentral's name for it is "long non-coding RNA (EGUI_LNC057580)". The record is from RNAcentral. Lineage: Eukaryota; Viridiplantae; Streptophyta; Magnoliopsida; Arecales; Arecaceae.